RNAcentral lists this ribosomal RNA (461 nucleotides) under uncultured bacterium. RNAcentral's name for it is "partial 16S ribosomal RNA". It matches the Rfam family "Bacterial small subunit ribosomal RNA", at positions 338 to 795 of the family's 1533-position model. The record is from RNAcentral.
CCUACGGGUGGCAGCAGUGAGGAAUAUUGGUCAAUGGGCGCGAGCCUGAACCAGCCAAGUAGCGUGAAGGAAGACUGCCCUACGGGUUGUAAACUUCUUUUAUAAAGGAAUAAAGUGAGGCACGUGUGCCUUUUUGUAUGUACUUUAUGAAUAAGGAACGGCUAACUCCGUGCCAGCAGACGCGGCAAUUCGGAGGGUCCGAGCGUUAUCCGGAUUUAUGGGGUUUAAAGGGAGCGUAGGCUGUGAUGUAAGUCAGCGGUGAAAUGCCCCCGCUCAACGGGGUGAAGUGCCAUUGAUACUGCCUUGCUGGAAUGCGGAUGCCGUGGGAAGAAUGUGUGGUGUAGCGGUGAAAUGCAUAGAUAUCACACAGAACACCGAUUGCGAAGGCAUCUCACGAAUCCGCGAUUGACGCUGAUGCACGAAAGCGUGGGUAUCAAACAGGAUUAGAUACCCUUGUAGUC